GUCUAUGGCCAUGCCACCCUGAAUGUGCCCGAUCCCACCUGAUCUCAGAAGCUAAACAGGGUCGGGCCUGGUUAGUACUUGGAUGGGAGACCACCUCGGAAUACCAGGUGCUGUAGGCU
This 119-nucleotide ribosomal RNA is filed under the name Pteropus alecto (black flying fox). Lineage: Eukaryota; Metazoa; Chordata; Mammalia; Chiroptera; Pteropodidae. The record is from RNAcentral.